Molecule: long non-coding RNA, 251 nt
Organism: Hyalella azteca
Lineage: Eukaryota; Metazoa; Arthropoda; Malacostraca; Amphipoda; Hyalellidae
Exons: 2
Source: RefSeq, a predicted model, not a curated record
GUUCGACGCCGUUGAUAAGGAUAAGAAAUUACAAUGGCGCCUGAAGAAGCGUCUGCAGAAGCUGCAGGAGGCAGGCAAGGUGAACACAGAGCAGGCGGAGACGCUGCGGCAGGAGCUGGCAGAAGUUAAGCAGCGUCUGCAGCAGGUGGAAGACGCAGAGAUAAAAGACUUCAAUAAAGCAGAAGGCAAGAAGAGGCACCGCAACGCUAAGACCAUAGAGAGAGUCAAGAGAUUAAAGACUGCCAAGUAUU